This 381-nucleotide ribosomal RNA is filed under the name uncultured bacterium. RNAcentral describes it as "bacterial SSU rRNA". It matches the Rfam family "Bacterial small subunit ribosomal RNA", at positions 1008 to 1386 of the family's 1533-position model. The record is from RNAcentral.
GUGGAUGUGCCCGAAAGGGAACCUGAACACAGGUGCUGCAUGGCUGCUCGCUCAGCUCGAUGUCGUGAGAUGUUGGGUUAAGUCCCGCAACGAGCGCAACCCUUGUCAUUAGUUGCUACAUUUAGUUGGGCACUCUAAUGAGACUGCCGGUGACAAACCGGAGGAAGGUGGGGAUGACGUCAAGUCCUCAUGGCCCUUAUGGGUAGGGCCUCACACGUCAUACAAUGGCGCAUACAGAGGGUUGCCAACCCGCGAGGGGGAGCCAAUCCCAGAAAGUGCGUCGUAGUCCGGAUCGGAGUCUGCAACUCGACUCCGUGAAGUCGGAAUCGCUAGUAAUCGCGGAUCAGCAUGUCGCGGUGAAUACGUUCCCGGGUCUUGUAC